This is a non-coding RNA of Arachis ipaensis, 721 nucleotides long. NCBI's taxonomy places the organism in Eukaryota, Viridiplantae, Streptophyta, Magnoliopsida, Fabales, Fabaceae. The record is from RefSeq and is a predicted model, not a curated record.
UCAUUUCAGCUGAAGCAACGCUGAAAGCUUCCAUGGAAGAAAAGAACCCCGAAACCCUUACGGCAAAUUCAACUCGCCGUAACUUCUCCGUCCGAGUUUCGAUUGCUGCACCGUUUGCGGCCACACGACCACCGCAUCGAGUUCUACGUUUCUAUUGGAACAAUUUCAUUGGAUCCAAUUAGCUUGAGAAAAUCGUUCACUCUUGUUUAUGUGAAGCUUGGGUAAGAUGAGGAUAUCAUAAAUCCUAUUUAAUUUGCUGAAUUUAUGUUUCGGGUAUUCGGAUAUUAAAUUGGGUAUAUAUGUGUUAUGAAUGUAUAUUAGGUUGAGAAUAAAUAAUUGGAGUUUGAAAUUGUGGACGUUGGAAUUUUGGUGGAGGCUGGGCAUUGGUAUUUUGUUGAGCUUUUAGGGCUGUGUUUAUUUUGGGUGAAUUGUUUAUCGCUACGUGGGAAUCGGCUAAGAUGCAGGUCGAGAGGCACCUCGUUAGGCGUCUGGACUUUUGAAGCGAAGUGGCUGUCGGGUUACUUUUGUUAUAUAGUUAUGUAUAUAUAUGUACUUAGUUUUCCUCUCCGCAUAACUUGUUUCUUUUGAUCCUCUUAGAGGUUUAUGGAGAGACAUGAUUUUGUUUAUGUAAAUUUGGGUUUUAGAUAUGUAUAUGUAUGUGUAUAUAUAUUUUCCGGCCAGUCUUGACUUCGCGGGCUGAGUGAGGAGCUUGUUAUUUUGU